RNAcentral lists this ribosomal RNA (253 nucleotides) under uncultured bacterium. RNAcentral's name for it is "partial 16S ribosomal RNA". It matches the Rfam family "Bacterial small subunit ribosomal RNA", at positions 524 to 776 of the family's 1533-position model. The record is from RNAcentral.
UACGGAGGGGGCUAGCGUUGUUCGGAAUUACUGGGCGUAAAGCGCACGUAGGCGGCUCUGUAAGUUAGAGGUGAAAGCCCAGGGCUUAACCCUGGAAUUGCCUUUAAGACUGCAUCGCUAGAAUCGUGGAGAGGUGAGUGGAAUUCCGAGUGUAGAGGUGAAAUUCGUAGAUAUUCGGAAGAACACCAGUGGCGAAGGCGACUCACUGGACACGUAUUGACGCUGAGGUGCGAAAGCGUGGGGAGCAAACAGG